RNAcentral lists this ribosomal RNA (496 nucleotides) under uncultured bacterium. RNAcentral describes it as "partial 16S ribosomal RNA". It matches the Rfam family "Bacterial small subunit ribosomal RNA", at positions 29 to 507 of the family's 1533-position model. The record is from RNAcentral.
AUGAACGCUGGCGGCGUGCCUAAUACAUGCAAGUCGAGCGAACAGACGAGGAGCUUGCUCCUCUGACGUUAGCGGCGGACGGGUGAGUAACACGUGGAUAACCUACCUAUAAGACUGGGAUAACUUCGGGAAACCGGAGCUAAUACCGGAUAAUAUAUUGAACCGCAUGGUUCAAUAGUGAAAGACGGUUUUGCUGUCACUUAUAGAUGGAUCCGCGCCGCAUUAGCUAGUUGGUAAGGUAACGGCUUACCAAGGCGACGAUGCGUAGCCGACCUGAGAGGGUGAUCGGCCACACUGGAACUGAGACACGGUCCAGACUCCUACGGGAGGCAGCAGUAGGGAAUCUUCCGCAAUGGGCGAAAGCCUGACGGAGCAACGCCGCGUGAGUGAUGAAAGUCUUCGGAUCGUAAAACUCUGUUAUUAGGGAAGAACAAAUGUGUAAGUAACUAUGCACGUCUUGACGGUACCUAAUCAGAAAGCCACGGCUAACUACGUG